GACGAACGCUGGCGGCGUGCCUAAUACAUGCAAGUAGAACGCUGAAGGAGGAGCUUGCUCUUCUGGAUGAGUUGCGAACGGGUGAGUAACGCGUAGGUAACCUGCCUGGUAGUGGGGGAUAACUAUUGGAAACGAUAGCUAAUACCGCAUAAUAACAGUUGUUGCAUGACAACUGUUUGAAAGGUGCAAUUGCAUCACUACCAGAUGGACCUGCGUUGUAUUAGCUAGUUGGUGGGGUAACGGCUCACCAAGGCGACGAUACAUAGCCGACCUGAGAGGGUGAUCGGCCACACUGGGACUGAGACACGGCCCAGACUCCUACGGGAGGCAGCAGUAGGGAAUCUUCGGCAAUGGACGAAAGUCUGACCGAGCAACGCCGCGUGAGUGAAGAAGGUUUUCGGAUCGUAAAGCUCUGUUGUAAGAGAAGAACGAGUGUGAGAGUG
RNAcentral lists this ribosomal RNA (443 nucleotides) under Streptococcus sp. oral taxon C56. RNAcentral's name for it is "bacterial SSU rRNA". It matches the Rfam family "Bacterial small subunit ribosomal RNA", at positions 28 to 463 of the family's 1533-position model. The record is from RNAcentral. Lineage: Bacteria; Bacillati; Bacillota; Bacilli; Lactobacillales; Streptococcaceae.